RNAcentral lists this ribosomal RNA (386 nucleotides) under uncultured bacterium. Its description in RNAcentral is "bacterial SSU rRNA". It matches the Rfam family "Bacterial small subunit ribosomal RNA", at positions 30 to 416 of the family's 1533-position model. The record is from RNAcentral.
AUUGAACGCUGGCGGCAUGCCUUACACAUGCAAGUCGAACGGCAGCACGGGGGCAACCCUGGUGGCGAGUGGCGAACGGGUGAGUAAUGCAUCGGAACGUGCCCGGAAGUGGGGGAUAACGUAGCGAAAGUUACGCUAAUACCGCAUAUUCUGUGAGCAGGAAAGCAGGGGAUCGCAAGACCUUGCGCUUUCGGAGCGGCCGAUGUCGGAUUAGCUAGUUGGUGAGGUAAAGGCUUACCAAGGCGACGAUCCGUAGCUGGUCUUAGAGGAUGAUCAGCCCACUGGGACUGAGACACGGCCCAGACUCCUACGGGAGGCAGCAGUGGGGAAUUUUGGACAAUGGGGGGCAACCCUGAUCCAGCCAUGCCGCGUGAGUGAAGAAGGCC